Molecule: long non-coding RNA, 214 nt
Filed under: Elaeis guineensis (African oil palm)
Lineage: Eukaryota; Viridiplantae; Streptophyta; Magnoliopsida; Arecales; Arecaceae
Description: long non-coding RNA (EGUI_LNC010471)
Source: RNAcentral
AUAGAAAAUAAAAAUAUCCUCAUGAUGUAUAAACAUAUGAGGUAGAUAAAAUCUUCAAAGUCCUCCAUCCCUUCUCUCUCUACCAAAGAUAGUAUAAGGCCCUCCAAUCUUUUUCACUUAAAUGUCUCAUUGCCAUGUAUCCUCUGGUCAAAGUACUUCCUAACUAUAUCAAUCUUUUUUCAAAUACUCACUUUGAAAUUGACACAGGUGCCAU